This 325-nucleotide ribosomal RNA is filed under the name uncultured eukaryote. RNAcentral's name for it is "partial 18S ribosomal RNA". It matches the Rfam family "Eukaryotic small subunit ribosomal RNA", at positions 1470 to 1796 of the family's 1831-position model. The record is from RNAcentral.
CCCUUAGAUGUCCUGGGCCGCACGCGCGCUACACUGAUGAAUUCAACGAGUUUUACCUUGGCCGAGAGGCCUGGGCAAUCUUUUAAACCUGCAUCGUGAUAGGGAUAGAUUAUUGCAAUUAUUAAUCUUGAACGAGGAAUUCCUAGUAAACGCAAAUCAUCAAUUUGCAUUGAUUACGUCCCUGCCCUUUGUACACACCGCCCGUCGCACCUACCGAUUGAAUGGUCCGGUGAAGCCUCGGGAUUGUGGCCAGUUCACUUUAUUGGGAGUUGGCUGUGAGAACUUGUCUAAACCUUAUCAUUUAGAGGAAGGUGAAGUCGUAACA